AGCGAACGCUGGCGGCAGGCCUAACACAUGCAAGUCGAACGAACGUUUCGGGGUUAGUGGCGGACGGGUGAGUAACACGGGGGAACGUGCCUUUAGGUUCGGAAUAACUCAGGGAAACUUGUGCUAAUACCGAAUGUGCCCUUCGGGGGAAAGCGUAAUCGAUUUUUGAGCGGCCAGCGCCUGAUUGGCUAGUCGGGUGAGGUAAUGGCUCACCAAGGCGGCGAACAGUAGCGGGUCUGAGAGCAGGGUCAGCCACAUUGGGACUGAGACACGGCCCAAACUCCUACGGGAGGCAGCAGUGGGGAAUCUUGCGCAACGGGCCAGAGUCUGACGGAGCCAUGCCGCGUGAAGUAAGAAGCUUUUAGGAGGGGAAAAUUCUUUCACCGGGGACGAAAAUGACGGUACCCGGAGAAUAAGCCCCGGCUAACUUCGUG
Molecule: ribosomal RNA, 434 nt
Filed under: uncultured bacterium
Lineage: Bacteria
Description: partial 16S ribosomal RNA
Rfam family: Bacterial small subunit ribosomal RNA
Source: RNAcentral